Molecule: long non-coding RNA, 1064 nt
Filed under: Homo sapiens (human)
Lineage: Eukaryota; Metazoa; Chordata; Mammalia; Primates; Hominidae
Description: long independently transcribed non-coding RNA 891 (LINC891, LINC3228)
Source: RNAcentral
CUUGGCGUUCACUGCAAGCUAUAAGCUCUGCAAGUGGUGACCCCGACGUGAUCGCCUUGAAGUUACGCGUGAAGGAGGAGAGCUCAUUACUUUUCGGGGAAUCCUGAGAACAGGACCAGUCGUUGGAGAACCAACCAACAAUGAUGGUGAUGACUCGGAAGGCACCUGACAUCACCUGGGGACAGCUAAAGAAAUUGAAUCAACAAGCAUCUAUCCAGCUUGCCGCCGUGGAAGCCCCUGCAACUGCAGACAAUCGGUUUCUUACAUAUCUGGUGGCAAUUGGGGAAACUUCUGAGAAAGUAAGACAGACAUGGAUGUUGGGGUGGCAGGCACUUGCAGAUGGCUCUGUGCUGCCACCCGACGCAUCUAUGACCAGGGAAGAAUCAUGGAAGCUUACCUUGCAUUGGAUGACCAGCACGCUAUAAGAAUUAAAGAAGGGGGGAAUAUGGCGGGGUGCACGACAGCAUAUUCAAGCUUAUGUACAAGGCGUUUGAGGUCGGGGCAUGGAAACAUACUGAGGCACUGUGUGUAUGUUAUUUGUGCAUGAGAAUGAAACUCCUUGACCCUGAAAACAGGACGGGGAGUGGAGUGUGUGGUGUGAUAAGGAACGCUGAAAACAGCCUCCCGAGAAUGCGGUUUGAGUGCUUUUACCAGGCCACAGGUGUCUCAUGACCCGACCUCAAAAAGGCCAUCUAGUGGAUGUUUGUGGUCUAACAAGCCCUUUCAAUGAAUACUUGGCGGACAGAUGCUGGGGCGGAGUCUCUUAGAAGAGCUGCCCCCGGCCCCCCUCAGCUGGAUUUGUCUGAGAACUCAUUCUUGGCGUUCACUGCAAGCUAUAAGCUCUGCGAUGGGCCCUGAAAAAAAAAAAUCGAUACUACGAUGACUCUCAUAUGUAUUUCUUCAGCCCAGAUCCAGACCUUUGUCUACUCAGCUUCUCCACGUGGAUACCUAAUAGGCAUCUCAAAUUUAAAUAUCCAAAACCAAACUCCUGACAUUAAACACAAGAAGCAAGAAAUAUGAACAUAUUUUCUGAUUCCACUAAUAUAAAAGUACAUAACAGUCAA